CUAUGCGCCUUGCCAGCCCGCUCAGGUGUGCCAGCAGCCGCGGUAAUACGUAGGGGGCAAGCGUUAUCCGGAUUUACUGGGUGUAAAGGGAGCGUAGACGGCAGUGCAAGUCUGGAGUGAAAGGCGGGGGCUCAACCCCCGGACUGCUCUGGAAACUGUACAGCUGGAGUGCAGGAGAGGUAAGUGGAAUUCCUAGUGUAGCGGUGAAAUGCGUAGAUAUUAGGAGGAACACCAGUGGCGAAGGCGGCUUACUGGACUGUAAAUGACGCUGAGGCUCGAAAGCGUGGGGAGCAAACAGG
Molecule: ribosomal RNA, 299 nt
Filed under: uncultured bacterium
Lineage: Bacteria
Description: partial 16S ribosomal RNA
Rfam family: Bacterial small subunit ribosomal RNA
Source: RNAcentral